Clarias gariepinus (North African catfish) is the source of this 218-nucleotide long non-coding RNA. RefSeq lists it as uncharacterized. The record is from RefSeq and is a predicted model, not a curated record. NCBI's taxonomy places the organism in Eukaryota, Metazoa, Chordata, Actinopteri, Siluriformes, Clariidae. The transcript is spliced from 3 exons.
GCUCAAGGACGUUUCUAAAGGAUGUUGGUUUCUGUUCCAUUCAUUUAAUAAUAAACUGUUUUGCUUGUGUAUUGCACAAUGAGUGUGAGCUUUUUUAUCUCCUUCGCCUUCCUGCUGAUGAUACACAAAGUGUCAAUGCAGAGUGUUCGUGUUGAAGGUGUUAUAGGACAAACAGCAGUCUUACCGUGUUCAGUCAAACAGACUCCUCAGUAUGUGCU